Paramuricea clavata is the source of this 950-nucleotide non-coding RNA. The record is from the annotation of a GenBank genome assembly. Lineage: Eukaryota; Metazoa; Cnidaria; Anthozoa; Malacalcyonacea; Plexauridae.
CAUAGUUUGACAAGGACUAUAUUAACUUCUUUGCAGCUGUAAUCUAUCACAGAACGAAGAACUCAGUCAUGAUGUACGUAGGAGUGAACGAAUCGAUUGUGCCGAGGAAUAGCAGUACUUUUUCAUGCAGCAUCGACGCCCCAAACAUUUUGCUAGUAAUAAUUGGUUCCGCGGCUGCCUUGAUGAACGGGCUACUGCUUUUGGUCUUGUACAAUGAACGGAAAAAAUUUUUCCGAACCAGGGUGUCGUAUCUCAUCGCGAAUCUGGCUCUAGCCGACUGUUUUACAGGCUUAAUGCUCGUCGUAGUGAUGGCAUUGCAAAUGGCGAACAAAAGCUUGAACGGUGUGGAGUUUCUCUUCUUCUGUGGCAGCAUCCAGACUUCAUUCUAUACGCUAAUCCUGAUGUCUGUAGACAGACUCGUUGUCGCAAUCAUGCCCAUGACUUGGUCACGGAUCCUUACAAAACGAAACACUGUCAUAGGCAUCAUUUUCGCGUGGGCUUUUGCACUUUUUGGAAGCGUUAUGAUGAAAUACCAAAUCACAAAAAGACGUUUCGCAUUCUUGCUGUUCAUCGAAAUCUCUGCAGUUUUGUUCGUCUUUAUACACAUCGUGAUUUUCCAAGUUCUUCGGAGACAGCGAAGGGAUUUAUCUCAGUCUGGCAGUUCGGCGGAAAUCUCGACCGUAAUGGAUCUGACCUUGCAAGCGUGUCAUGCGCAGAUCACAUCGGUGGUGUUAACGCUCAUGUUGGUGCUCAUUGUAACAUACACGCCUUACGUUGUGUAUUCGAAUGUCAUAUUAGCAAGAGAAGGGACUGGUAUGGGGAUUCUGAUAUACGAUACCGGAUUUCGCUACACCCAGGCGUUCGCUUAUUUUUAUUAUGCUGGGAACCCCAUCGUUUACGCCUGGAGAUUGAGGGUGUACCGCAAAGCACUCUGCACGCUCAUAUUGAAG